RNAcentral lists this ribosomal RNA (444 nucleotides) under Scarabaeus rusticus. RNAcentral describes it as "partial 16S ribosomal RNA". The record is from RNAcentral. Lineage: Eukaryota; Metazoa; Arthropoda; Insecta; Coleoptera; Scarabaeidae.
CGCAAACUUUUUUUUCGAUAAGAACUCUAAAAAAAAAUAACGCUGUUAUCCCUAAGGUAAUUUAAUCUUUUAAUCAUAAUAUAUGGAUCAUUUACUCAUAAAUUAAUGUUUUAAUAUAAAAAAAGUUAAUUAAAUUUUUCAAUUGCCCCAAUCAAAUAUGUAUACUUUAACCUAAAGUAAAAAUGCUUAAAUUUUUAGAUUUAAAUAUAAAUAUAAAAUUCUAUAGGGUCUUCUCGUCUUUUAAAAUUAUUUAAGCUUUUUUACUUAAAAAUAAAAUUCUAAUUUAAAUUAAAUUGAGACAGUCUCUCCCUCGUCAAACCUUUCAUACCAGUUCUCAAUUAAAAAACUAAUUAUUAUGCUACCUUUGCACGGUCAAAGUACCGCGGCCAUUUAAAUAUUUAUUCAUAGGGCAGGCCAGACUUUAAAUUAUACUCAAAAAGACAU